CUUCAAUUGUGAAGCUGUGUCUCUCACGCGCACAAAACCUGCUUCACGUAUGUUCACUCCUCUCAAACUCCUGAAAUUUCUCCUUUCUAAAUCUGUUAUUCCUCACACACUCCUGAAAUCCGCUCCCAAUAGAUACUAUGGAUUUAAAAUUGAAUUUCAAUUUCAAAUUUGCAAAUCCAGCGCCUUGUGAAAAAUUUUGGGGGGCGAAAUUUACGGGUUUCAAAUAGAUCUGCUUAGGGUUACCGCUGGCGAAAUCAUCUCAUAGGACUGGAGGCAAUUUUUGUUGCAGAUUCAUCAACAGAUUUGAAAAAUUGGAAGGGAGGCCCUUUUCAAUAUCAGUUUCUCUUUUGUGGUUCACUUGUGCGAUGGUCAAGAAUUAAGGUUUGUUUUAUAAAAAAGAGGAAGGACAGAGGCGAUGGACUUCACACAACGUUUUAUUUGCUUAUAUGACCUGAAGAAGCUUGAUGCUUUCUAAAAAAAAUAUGACCUGAAUAUCAAUGUUUUGGAUGUGGUAUUAUUGAUGCAUGUUUUUACACGGAUAUUGUGUUUAAAAUUGAUGUUUUUUGACCCUAAAAAAAUCUCUGCAAUGGUUCAUUCUUUUUAAAGUUCAAAAUGAGUAGUUUUUAGGCUGAGCACCAAUGUUACUUUUGUGUGGUGUCAAUGAGCACCACUGUUACUUUCGUGUGGUCAUUCAAUUAGAGUUCAAUGUUACUUUUGUGUGGUUCUUUCUUCAGUGUUUAGAUUUUCAUUUGCUUGGCCAAAUUUAUUUGACAAAGCAACUUCUUUUUUGCAGACUUACAAAUCUUGUCCAACACAAGUAAGUUAAUUUUAUUUAGGUGCUUAGGAUUCAUUCACCUCUUGCUUAUCAUUCCCCUUUACAAAAAUUUCUUCUAUAAUUCUUUCUUCUUUAUAAGCAAAGCAAUUCUUUCCCAUAUUUAUGCACGUAUAUAUCAUCCAAAUUGGCUAUUGGCUACUGAUAUUAUCAUAAUAACUGGUGAAAUCCACUGUGAACUUAACAAAGUAUGUACUUUUUUUAGAAUUUUUGUUUUAUUCUCUUCUUUAUAAGCAAAGCAAUUCUUUCUCAUAUUUAUUCUCUUCUUUAUAAGCAAAGCAGGUCUUUUUUUUACUUCCUUGCCAAAAUCAUCUUUAUAACUGGUUUUUCUUUUUAUUGGUUCUCAUCAAUUCGUAAUCUUUGUGGAUCAAAAAGUCAGCUGCAAUUGUUCAAAAGGAAGCAGAUGAGGUUUAAGAUCAUGAAUUAGUUUUUAUAUUAUUGUUUUGUUACGAUUUAUUAAGUUUAAACUUCAUAAACUUUAUGGUUUGAGUGUAUUGUGUGUUCUACCUUUUUAAUGGACAUAAUGUGAUGGUCCUUUGUCCAUUGUGUGUAACAAUGAGUGUUGCUAAAAUUGUGUGUCACAGUAGCAAUAAUUCAGCAUGCUGAAUUUUUUUUGUUUUACACAGAUUUUUAAGACUUUUCAUUGUUGUCUAUAUCAUGGCCCCUCAUUAGAGUCUUAGAUUAUCUCUUUUCUAACGAGUCUGGUUGAGAUCCUUAUUUUAAAAGCAUGUUAUUUUUGGCUUAUGAAGGGUACACAUGAUGAUUUAUCAUGCUACAAAUUUUAUAACUUCAAAACACAAAUGGGUUGUUCAACUUUAUGUAGGCUGAUGAGUUGUCGGGUAUGCCUCGUGUUGCAUUGGAUAAUUUUGUUGGAAAAACUUUCAUAUUCAAGAUAAAAAUUGAUGAUAGUAAGAAUGGAAAAUAUGCAAAGAGUUCUUUUGUGUACACAAUGACUGAUGCUUCUGAUAUGAUCAAACUUUUUACCUCAAAUGAUGACACAGUACAGGUACGUUUUAGUCCUUUCAUGUUAUUCUUUUUCUAAAUGUCCUUAAAUGUUAUUGUUUUUUUAAUUUUGAACAUGUAAACUCAAUUCCAUUAAAACUAAAAUACACCAAAUGAAAAACCGAAAAAUUUAGAACUCAGCCUUACUUCAAAAGGUCAAUGUCAGUGGUCACUGUAUAAAGACUAACAUCUAAAUAGAAAUUGACUUCAGUCAACCCAAAUAUUAUCUUAAAUGUUAUUAUUGAUGGUAACUAUCAUUUUAUAGCCUUCUACUCCUUACAUGUGGUUUUCUUUUUUAGGAUUCGUUGCAAAUUGGUAGUAUUGAUGCAAAUAGUGAGCUAUCUAUUCAAAAGCAUCAAUCUGAUGCUACUGGUGACAUUUCUAUUACAAGUGAAAAUGAACUUUGAAUCAUAUUCUCAGCAGAAUGUUACUCCUAUGAAAAGAAUGUCACAUCAAAAUCUUGUGUAUUCUGACAUAGCGGAAAACUCUCCAGCACAAGCUUCCUCAACUAAGGAGUUAAAACGUGUUAAGAUAGAGAAGUGAAAUAAGAAUUUGAUUACAUUGAGACUUCUGCUACGUUAGUAUAUGUUGCAAGUUUUUCUAUUUAUGGUGUUUUAAAGAGUUAAUUACAUUGUUUGGUUUUGUAUUAAGUAAACUCGGAUGAUCAAUUUUAAUAUUAUUCAUGUAUCUAUUUUGA
This is a long non-coding RNA of Lotus japonicus, 2531 nucleotides long. RefSeq lists it as uncharacterized. NCBI's taxonomy places the organism in Eukaryota, Viridiplantae, Streptophyta, Magnoliopsida, Fabales, Fabaceae. The record is from RefSeq and is a predicted model, not a curated record. The transcript has 4 exons.